Aedes albopictus (Asian tiger mosquito) is the source of this 74-nucleotide non-coding RNA. The record is from Rfam. NCBI's taxonomy places the organism in Eukaryota, Metazoa, Arthropoda, Insecta, Diptera, Culicidae.
UGCUCUGUGGCUUAGUUGGUUAAAGCGCCGGUCUAGCGAAUACGGAGUCGUGGGUUCGAAUCCCACCAGAACGC